This 1506-nucleotide long non-coding RNA is filed under the name Nicotiana tabacum (common tobacco). RNAcentral's name for it is "long non-coding RNA (NTAB_LNC012162)". Lineage: Eukaryota; Viridiplantae; Streptophyta; Magnoliopsida; Solanales; Solanaceae. The record is from RNAcentral.
CAAUCUGUUCUUUUUGGUAAGAGUGGGUUGAUCUAGUGGUAAACACCCUCCACUUCUAAUCAAGAGGUUGCGAGUUCGAAUCACUUCAAGAGCAAGGUGAGAAGUUCUUGGAGGGAGGGAGCCGAGGGCCUAUCGGAAACAGCCUCUCUAUUUAAGGGUAGGGGUAAGGUUUGCGUACACACUACCCUCCCCAUACCCCAAUAGUGAGAUUAUACUGAGUUGUUGUUGUAUCCUCCAAUGUGUUCUUCAUUGCCUCUUAUUAUGAAUAACAUGUAAUGUAAUGUAAUAUCAGAUGGAUUUGACAAUGAUAUUAAUCUCCAUGUACCUAAAAGACAGAAAUAAUAGAAUUGAUGCUAAUUGCUUGUGGUCAGAUUAAAAGAUAGUGAUUAAUUACUUUUAAUUAACUCACGGACUGAUAAAUAUCCUGUUUACCUUCCCCUCCCGAAAUCGACAAGGAAGUGAUGAAUUACGUUUUACGUUUUAAUAAAAAAAGAUUUAACCUCUUUUUUUUUCUUUUUUUUUCAUUUUCAACAAGCAAACAAAAGAGUCGGCAACCAAUAAAUGAAGCUUGAUCUAAAUUCUAGCAAAAUUUCUUGUAUGAGCAAAAUGUAAAAUUGGCAAGGAUUAAUUACUAGCUUUAACAAUCAUUCAAUAAAUUAAUACUAUAAGCACACAACUCCUACAAAAAGACAUUAAAAAGGACUUUAAUUAUAAUAACAAUAUUUCAAAACUUUCAAGUUAUUAAUCAUCAAAGGAUUCAUGAUAAUUGAUAUAAAUCGAAAUAUUCACAAAACAUGAAAUUAAAAUGAUAUUCCAUAUUCAAACAUAUGAUCAUACUUUUCCCAGUUGCUGUUUCUUUCUGGAUCAAAUACAUACCAGAUUACCAAACACUACAAUUUUGUAAUGUUGAGUAUUAUUUCCCUAAGAAAAGUCUCUAUUUUUCUUUCCUUUAGUCAAUAUUGGCCUUCUGCAACAAGAACUGCUGGAAUUGGAAAUUCCAUAAUUGCCAUCAUUAUACAUCAAAGGCAAGUCGUUUGCAUCUUCACCUUCAUCCUCAUGAGUGGCAAUACGAAUGCAAGAACACCGUUCCAACGACGCGAAAAACGCGGCCGCAACGCCGUUGAUGAACCACAUGGCCAUCCCGUCAAGUUUUCUGCAGCCGGGAGUGGAGGACGACCGGACCCUUGGCUCGUCGGAACUUGCUCGGAAACUAAAUAAGCCGCCGCAGCUAGUGGUGGUAGCUGCCAUGAUUUGGAUGAGAGAGAGUGGGGAUAAGUCACAGAAAAUAGGAAGAGUGGGUGACAAAGGUAGCUUUUAUAAUUUGGAUUGUAUGUGAAGAGUUUUAUUUUUAAAUAAAAGAACCUUUAGUUGCUACAUGUUCAUCAAUAAUCAUUGCGAUUUUUAACAUUUACGCAUGCCCUUCUUCAUCUUUUUCACUAUUUUUUUUGUGAUAAACACUAAGAACGGAAUUGUCACACUAUAGAGGUAAAAAAAGCUACCUUUACA